AACGAACGCUGGCGGCAGGCCUAACACAUGCAAGUCGAACGCUGUAGCAAUACAGAGUGGCAGACGGGUGAGUAACGCGUGGGAACAUGCCCUUCGGUUCGGAAUAACUCAGGGAAACUUGAGCUAAUACCGGAUACGCCCUUAGGGGGAAAGAUUUAUUGCCGAAGGAUUGGCCCGCGUCCGAUUAGCUAGUUGGUGAGGUAAUGGCUCACCAAGGCGACGAUCGGUAGCUGGUCUGAGAGGAUGAUCAGCCACACUGGGACUGAGACACGGCCCAGACUCCUACGGGAGGCAGCAGUGGGGAAUAUUGGACAAUGGGCGCAAGCCUGAUCCAGCCAUGCCGCGUGAGUGAUGAAGGCCCUAGGGUUGUAAAGCUCUUUCGCCAGGGACGAUAAUGACGGUACCUGGAUAAGAAGCCCCGGCUAACUUCGUGCCAGCAGCCGCGGUAAUACGAAGGGGGCUAGCGUUGUUCGGAAUCACUGGGCGUAAGCGCACGUAGGCG
This 502-nucleotide ribosomal RNA is filed under the name uncultured bacterium. RNAcentral describes it as "bacterial SSU rRNA". It matches the Rfam family "Bacterial small subunit ribosomal RNA", at positions 28 to 577 of the family's 1533-position model. The record is from RNAcentral.